UACGGGGGGGGGCAAGCGUUGUUCGGAAUUACUGGGCGUAAAGGGCUCGUAGGCGGCCAACUAAGUCAGACGUGAAAUCCCCGGGCUUAACCUGGGAACUGCGCUUCUAACUGGCAGGCUUGAGUGUGGCAGAGGGGGGUGGAAUUCCGACGUGUAGCAGUGAAAUGCGUAGAGAUGUGGAGGAACACCGAUGGCGAAGGCAGGUCUCUGGGCAUUAACUGACGCUGAGGAGCGAAAGCAUGGGGAGCGAACAGG
RNAcentral lists this ribosomal RNA (255 nucleotides) under uncultured bacterium. Its description in RNAcentral is "partial 16S ribosomal RNA". It matches the Rfam family "Bacterial small subunit ribosomal RNA", at positions 524 to 776 of the family's 1533-position model. The record is from RNAcentral.